RNAcentral lists this ribosomal RNA (253 nucleotides) under uncultured bacterium. RNAcentral describes it as "partial 16S ribosomal RNA". It matches the Rfam family "Bacterial small subunit ribosomal RNA", at positions 524 to 776 of the family's 1533-position model. The record is from RNAcentral.
UACAGAGGGUGCAAGCGUUGUUCGGAAUUACUGGGCGUAAAGGGGAGGUAGGUGGUCUUGUGCGUCUGUGGUGAAAGCCCUGAGCUUAACUCAGGAAGUGCCUCGGAUACGGCAAGACUAGAGUACUGGAGAGGGUGGUGGAAUUCCCGGUGUAGCGGUGAAAUGCGUAGAGAUCGGGAGGAACACCAGAGGCGAAGGCGGCCACCUGGACAGUCACUGACACUCAACUCCGAAAGCGUGGGGAGCAAACAGG